Long non-coding RNA from Homo sapiens (human), 947 nucleotides. Lineage: Eukaryota; Metazoa; Chordata; Mammalia; Primates; Hominidae. The record is from Ensembl.
AAGAUGCAGGUUUAUGCUGUUCUAUCAUUUAGUAAGUUAUUAUACAGAUACGCUGUUGUUAUUUUUUAAAUAAGUGAGUUUACAAAAAAUAAGGGUUCAGUGGAAAUAUAUGAAAUAAUUCACAUGCUAUAAAACAUUAGGACAACUAAUCCCGAAGGUCAAAAACUCUCUAAUGAAGAGCUCGGGGGUGAAGACAUUCUGAAUAUUUAGCCACCAAAAGAAGAAGUUUAAUGAAAAUAUAUUCCUAGUAGGAAUGCAUUCAGAAUGUUCUGUCUGAAUCCAAACUUUAUUCAUUGUUGGAAUUAAAGUAAACUUGUCAAUGUUUCAUGGAUACUGGCAGAAGAAACAAGUCUCCUGGGUCAGAGACAAGCAAGUAGCACAGCAAGCAGCAUGAGCAUCAAGUCUGCACUGAUUCCCCUACCCACCAGGUUCCACAAGGGAGGCACAACAGGCCAGGAGGAUACCAAGCAUGCAGUGGGUUUGCAUCAUCACAACUGACAAAUGGGAGCUUGGGAAAUCUACUGCUUUUUGAGUAAGCACAAAGCAAGCCUGAAGGACAAAUGCAAUCCUAAGAAAUGCUUCAGGUUAAGAAGACAGGUCAAGGUCUUGCAUUUUUGGCAUACCCAGCAAGUAUGUACAAGGACGCAUGGGGCUGAAAGAAGAUUGCCUUGCCCAACUGAUGCUUGAGAAAAUUUUGGUUUAAAGAAUUUUCUGAUCAAAAUUGAUUUCUAUUCAUAACAAGAAAAUCUAUUUAUUCUCUCUCUCUUUCUCUGUCUCUCUCUCACAAAUAUGCAUGCACACACACGCGCGCACACACACACACGCCUUUUACAUUGUCUUAAACUGAUACUGAAACCUUAAAUAGUAACCCCCCCACACCACCUGUUCCCAUGUCAACCAGAAACUCUGUGGUGAUAAAAGUAAAGAUGGCUUUUUACACUUAUUCA